CGAGGACUUCGGUCCUAGUGGCGAACGGUCGCGUAACACGUAAGCAACCUGCCCUGAAGUGGGGGACAACAUCCCGAAAGGGGUGCUAAUACCGCAUGUGGUCACGAGUCGGCAUCGACUUGUGUCUAAAGAUUUAUCGCUUCAGGAUGGGCUUGCGGCCUAUCAGGUAGUUGGUGGGGUAAUGGCCUACCAAGCCGACGACGGGUAGCUGGUCUGAGAGGACGAUCAGCCGGAUUGGGACUGAGAUACGGCCCAGACUCCUACGGGGGGCAGCAAUUAGGAAUCUUGCGCAAUGGGGGAAACCCUGACGCAGCGACGUCGCGUGAAGGAUGAAGGCCCUCGGGUCGUAAACUUCUUUUGAGUGGGAAGAAAUUUGACGGUACCACUCGAAUAAGCCCCGGCUAACUACGUGCCAGCAGCCGCGGUAAUACGUAGGGGGCGAGCGUUGUCCGAAGUUACUGGGCGUAAAGCGCGCGUAGGCGGUUAUUUAAGUCUGGGGUGAAAG
Molecule: ribosomal RNA, 505 nt
Filed under: uncultured bacterium
Lineage: Bacteria
Description: bacterial SSU rRNA
Rfam family: Bacterial small subunit ribosomal RNA
Source: RNAcentral